AACGAACGCUGGCGGCAUGCCUAACACAUGCAAGUCGAACGAUGACUUCGGGCAUAGUGGCGCACGGGUGCGGAACGCGUGGGAAGCUGCAUUUGGGGUCGGAAUAACUCAGGGAAACUGGAGAUAAUACCGGAUAACGUCGAAAGACCAAAGAUUUAUCACCGAAAGAUGAGCCAGCGUAGUAUUAGCUAGUGGGUGAGGUAAAGGCUCACGAAGGCGACGAUCCUAGCUGGUCUGAGGGGAUGAUCAGCCAAACUGGGACUGAGAAACGGACCAGACUCCUACGGGAGGCAGCAGUGGGGAAUAUUGCACAAUGGCCGAAAGCCUGAUCCAGCUCUGCCGCGUGAGUGAUGAAGUCCUUAGGGUUGUAAAGCUCUUUUACCCGGGAAGAUAAUGACGGUACCGGGAGAAUAAGCCCCGGCUAACUCCGUG
RNAcentral lists this ribosomal RNA (432 nucleotides) under uncultured bacterium. Its description in RNAcentral is "partial 16S ribosomal RNA". It matches the Rfam family "Bacterial small subunit ribosomal RNA", at positions 29 to 507 of the family's 1533-position model. The record is from RNAcentral.